Molecule: ribosomal RNA, 406 nt
Filed under: uncultured bacterium
Lineage: Bacteria
Description: partial 16S ribosomal RNA
Rfam family: Bacterial small subunit ribosomal RNA
Source: RNAcentral
GACGAACGCUAGCUACAGGCCUAACACAUGCAAGUCGAGGGACCGGCGCACGGGUGAGUAACACGUAUCCAACCUGCACUUUACCCGGGGAUAGCCUUUCGACAGAAAGAUUAAUACCCGAUGUAAAGGAUGGGGAUGCGUUCCAUUAGGUUGUUGGUGAGGUAACGGCUAACCAAGCCUUCGAUGGAGAGGGGUGCUGGGAGGAAGGCCCCCCACAUUGGAACUGGGACACGGUCCAAACUCCUACGGGAGGCAGCAGUGAGUAAGAUUAGUCAAUGAGCGUUAGCCUGAACCAGCCAAGUAGCGUGAAAGAUGAAGGCUUAUGAAUCGUAAACUUCUUUUAUAUAAGAAUAUGUAUUAUAUGAAUAAGGAACGGCUAACUCCGUGCCAGCAGCCGCGGUAAUAC